AGAGCACCUGCCCACACCAAUGACAUCACUGUUUCCAUAGAAAUAAAUGUACGUCAAAGGAGAGCUUCACAUACAAGCAACUGAGUGAUGUCAUCCAGAAAUGGGUUCGAAGCAGACAGCUCAUUCCAGAAUGGAUUUGUAGCUUUGGCAGCACUAUCACCACGGCACCAAUCAGGCAGUCAGAGAAGCUGUGUGAUCACAACUUCAAUGCAUUGUGGGAGAAAAGCCAUCAUCAAUGACUAUAUCUAACUGUAAACCCUGCAUAUUGCAAUACCAAACCACUUAAAAACAUGUGCAACAGUGGUGUGAAUGUUCCUCAUUUGUCUCUAGUACUCUUUUUCCCUGACACUACCUAAAGCAAUUUAUAUUUUAUGUGACAGUGACGCCAACAUACCGAAGUCGUUUGGUUUGUUACACCUCAUAAUUUUAUGACACUUUCCUUCUC
Molecule: long non-coding RNA, 445 nt
Organism: Mesocricetus auratus (golden hamster)
Lineage: Eukaryota; Metazoa; Chordata; Mammalia; Rodentia; Cricetidae
Exons: 3
Source: RefSeq, a predicted model, not a curated record